UGGGGAAUAUUGCACAAUGGGCGCAAGCCUGAUGCAGCGACGCCGCGUGGAGGAAGAAGGUUUUCGGAUUGUAAACUCCUGUUAAGUGGGAAAAAAUCUCGACGGAUAAUACCCGUUCGAGGAUGAUGGUACCACUAGAGAAAGUACCGGCAAACUUCGUGCCAGCAGCCGCGGUAAUACGAAGGGUACGAGCGUUAUUCGGAGUUACUGGGCGUAAAGAGCGUGUAGGCGGUUUGUUAAGUUGAUUGUUAAAUUCCCCGGCCUAACCGGGGACCUGCAGUCGAAACUGGCAGACUAGAGUACAAGAGAGAGAAGUAGAAUUCCCGGAGUAGCGGUAAAAUGCGUAGAUCUCGGGAGGAAUACCGAUGGCGAAGGCAGCUUCUUGGCUUGAAACUGACGCUAAAGCGCGAAAGCGUGGGGAGCAAACAGG
This 430-nucleotide ribosomal RNA is filed under the name uncultured bacterium. Its description in RNAcentral is "bacterial SSU rRNA". It matches the Rfam family "Bacterial small subunit ribosomal RNA", at positions 355 to 776 of the family's 1533-position model. The record is from RNAcentral.